Molecule: ribosomal RNA, 529 nt
Filed under: uncultured bacterium
Lineage: Bacteria
Description: bacterial SSU rRNA
Rfam family: Bacterial small subunit ribosomal RNA
Source: RNAcentral
GCAAGUCGAGCGAACAGAUAAGGAGCUUGCUCCUUUGACGUUAGCGGCGGACGGGUGAGUAACACGUGGAUAACCUACCUAUAAGACUGGGAUAACUUCGGGAAACCGGAGCUAAUACCGGAUAACAUAUUGAACCGCAUGGUUCAAUAGUGAAAGGCGGCUUUGCUGUCACUUAUAGAUGGAUCCGCGCCGUAUUAGCUAGUUGGUAAGGUAACGGCUUACCAAGGCAACGAUACGUAGCCGACCUGAGAGGGUGAUCGGCCACACUGGAACUGAGACACGGUCCAGACUCCUACGGGAGGCAGCAGUAGGGAAUCUUCCGCAAUGGGCGAAAGCCUGACGGAGCAACGCCGCGUGAGUGAUGAAGGUCUUCGGAUCGUAAAACUCUGUUAUCAGGGAAGAACAAAUGUGUAAGUAACUGUGCACAUCUUGACGGUACCUGAUCAGAAAGCCACGGCUAACUACGUGCCAGCAGCCGCGGUAAUACGUAGGUGGCAAGCGUUAUCCGGAAUUAUUGGGCGUAAAGCGC